UUGGAGGGCAAGUCUGGUGCCAGCAGCCGCGGUAAUUCCAGCUCCAAUAGCGUAUAUUAAAGUUGUUGAGGUUAAAAAGCUCGUAGUUGAACCUUGGGCCUAGCCGGCCGGUCCGCCUCACCGCGUGCACUGGCUCGGCUGGGUCUUUCCUUCUGGAGAACCGCAUGCCCUUCACUGGGUGUGCCGGGGAACCAGGACUUUUACUCUGAACAAAUUAGAUCGCUUAAAGAAGGCCUAUGCUCGAAUACAUUAGCAUGGAAUAAUAGAGUAGG
Molecule: ribosomal RNA, 272 nt
Filed under: uncultured Ascomycota
Lineage: Eukaryota; Fungi; Ascomycota
Description: partial 18S ribosomal RNA
Rfam family: Eukaryotic small subunit ribosomal RNA
Source: RNAcentral